Equus caballus (horse) is the source of this 6086-nucleotide long non-coding RNA. RefSeq lists it as uncharacterized. The record is from RefSeq and is a predicted model, not a curated record. NCBI's taxonomy places the organism in Eukaryota, Metazoa, Chordata, Mammalia, Perissodactyla, Equidae.
GCCUCAGCAACAACUUUAACGGCAAUGCAGCGGAUGAGCGGCAGCUGCCGAGGCCCGGACCCUGCGGUGCCACGACCCUCCCAGGGUUCUGGCUGUCGAGGGGCCACCGAGCACACGGGUGUAGACACAGCAUGGCACAGCGCGUGUGGCCUCCUGCGUGAGCCCAGCGGCCCUUGGGGUCCUGCCACACAAGCCCGCCGCCGGAGCCCUUCUUCCAGUCCUGCGUGGCCGACGUGGGCCGUGUCCGCGGGAACCGCAAAGGGCUCCGCGCCUGCCUGCAAGCCUAUGUGGCCCCCUGCCAGACUGCUGGUGUCGACGUGCGGGCCUGGAGGGAGCCCAACUUUUGGCCCCCUACAGACCAUCCUCCAUUAAGAAUUGCUCCUCCUCCUGUACCUGCCAGCUGGGGGAGGAGGUGACCUGUGUCCCCUUCAGCUGCCCUGUGGAGGAGGUCUCUAACAUCACAGAUGGAGUCCUAGGCUGUCGAUUGCAAGGUGACCAAGGCUGCGGUCUGAUGGGUCAGAGAUUGAGGUUUGAAAGAUGGUGCCAGUAUAUAACAAGGUGGAAGCGUUGCCUGGAACACAGUGAUGGCUCCCUCAAGGGUCCCUGUUCGUGUUUGUAUGAUCACCUCCUACACAGGAUUGGAUAAAAUCAGUCAUUUAGGAUUCCUUCAAUAAAUAGCUGUGGAGAAUCUCUGGAGGAUUCAACGGUGGAUGGUGAGUGCUGCCAGCUGCCCUGGGUCCUGCCGGGGCCAGGGCCUGGGCCACCCUGGAGGGCCGCCAUGUGGUGGUGCACACAGCCUGUGGGCUGCAUCUCAUGUAAGACUGGGGCAACUGGGUGUGCCUAACUGUGUCUUCCAUGUUCCACGGCUGGCUAGCAUGGCUCGGUGGUGGCAAUGUUGGCCCCCUCUACCUGCCCCUGGACACCAGAUCCUGGCCCACAGGCCUGGUUGCUACCCUCGUCCACCAUCCAGGCCCAGCCUCGGCUUUAGCAUUAGCUGCCCCAUGCGCUUGCCCAGAUUUUCAAUGCUCCCAAACUGCAUGGACUCCUACAGGCACCAGAUGGUCCCUUUGGCUGCUGCCCAGGCCAUAUCAGCCCCAAGGCCUUCCUCGGGAUACGCCUGCAGGACAUAUGUCGCACCCAUGGCCAGCAUCUUGGCCUCUGUGAUGCCCUCACAGCCUGUACUGCAGCCUGCCGGGAGGCGGGAUGCCCAUGACACCCUGGAGGGGCCACAAGCUCUGGGGCAAGUUGUGGACUGGCAGGAAGCCACCCCUCUCCUGAUGGGGAUCAGAGAAGUCCUGACAUCAAUGGAAUUAGCUGAAGAGAGUGUGUGGGAAGGGCAUCCAAAGGAAAGGGAGCUGUAAUUGCAAAGGGGUAGAGGUUGGAAAAUAUCGAUGGGAAGCUAGCCUGCUGGGGCAGGGGUAAUAGGAUUGCAAAGGGAAACUUCAGUCAUAAGCACUUGCCUUAGACAUCCGCCUGCAGCCCUGACUUGUCCACCCUAAAGCCACUAUGGCAUCUGUGCACGGCCCUGUGAGGGGGCUGUGUCCCGCCUGCCAGCCCUGCUCGCUGGUCCACUUGAUGCUAUGAGGGCUGUGAGUAUGACCCUGGCCUCAUCUUUGGUGGCACAGAGUGUGUGUCCCAGGACCACUGCGACUGCUUCCACCAUGGACACUCCAUCCCUGUAAGAGAGGUCUCCAGGCCCAGGCUUGUGGGCGCGGAGUCUCCCAUACCUCGUCCUAAGAUGUUCCCUGAGCCAGGCCAUAUCAGUCAGCAUUUUCAGUUGUAUCUGCCAGAAAAUAAUGCCAACUAUCUUAAAUACAACAGGGAAUAGAUCGACUUUUAUUUGUGUAAAGUUGAGGCUCAGGCAUGGCUGGAUUCAGGGACUCAGAGGAUGUCACCAGGACUCAAGCCUCUAUCUUUCAUCCCUGCCUUUUCCUUUUUCUGUGUUGGCUUCUAUAUUAAGUAGGCUCUAGGUCCACCUGCUAUGAGAGGCUCAAAAUUACAGUGGCUUAGACUUGAUAGAAGCUUAUUUCUUUCUCAUGAACAGUUCAGGUAUAACCAGUCUGGUUCUUCCAAGUCAGGGACACAGGCUUCUUCUGUCAUGUGGCUCUGCCUCCCCUGUGGUAUUGCCCUCAUCUGCUCCCCACCACAUCUAUAUUCGAGCAGGUUGGAAGGGAAAAAAGAGGGGACAAGGAAGUCAGGCCUCCUCCCUUUAAGGGCACCCCCCCAGAAGUGGCACUUAGCACUUUUGUUCACUUCCCAUUGGCCAGAACUUCAUGGAAGGACCGCAUCUGGCUGCAAAACGGGCUGGAAAGCAUAUCUUUAGCUGGGUGGCCAUGUGUGCAGCUAAAAAUUGUAAUUCUAGGGAAGAAAUGGAGGAUGGAUAUUUGAAGACAAGCAUAGCCUCAUUCUCAAAGCACUUCUCUGUUUGGGGGGCAGUGGUGGUCGCAGCUGCUUCAGCUUUACAACGCACAGUUUAGCAACCUCAGUGGGAACACAGCACUUCUCUCUCAACAGCUCCAGCGGAAGUCUAAGGGCCGACUCCUACUGUCCAGUGUAGGUUAUCUGUCCAUCCCUAAACCCAACACAGAGGCCAAAGUAGGGGGUACUCUGAUUGGCCAGGCCUGGGGCACGUGCCCAGAGAUGGAGCCAGAGAGUAGAUAAAUCACCUAGGCAACCCCAUAGACUGAGAGUGGGGCUAGUUCCCCAAAGAACCUCGGAGGCUGUUAGCAUGGAUGGACCCUGGGCGGGCAGUGUUCCCUUCAAGGUUUUGCAGCUCCUUGAGUCCAUUAGGAGGUAAAGAAAACCCCCUUAGGAUGGUUGACAUAGUUGUCUUAGAGAUUAGGGGCCACUGGAAAGGAAAAAGCAUGGGUCUUUAAACCUCAGUGACUCUGGGGAUGAAGAGAUGCCCACACUGGGAGGAACAAGGCAUAAGAGCAGAUAUACUGUCACUGCGUGUCCACUGCAUGCCAGUGCUGACAACGCUAGCCGCAGGUCAGAAUCUUCGGAGAGCUUGUAGGGCUUUUCACACACAAGUGAAAAGCAGAGGGAUCGUCAUUGAUGAAAAGAGACUAAAAUACCACAACCGUCCAAUGCAGUGCACAAAGCUAGAUCAGGUCCUGGUUUGCAAAGAACAGUUACAGAAGAUGUUUGGGGAGCAACUGGAGAAAUGCAUCACAUUUUUAAGGAUUUGCCCUCCUCAUAUGGAAACGAUGUUUCAAUGGAUUUUUAAUUUGCAUUUGUCUUAUUAGGAGGUUGAGCAUCUUUUCAAAUGCUUAAGAAACAUUUGUAUUUCCUAUACUAUUAAUUUUCUGAAUACCUUUUGCUCUUUUUUUUAUAUUGCGUUGUUGGUUUUUUUCGUUCUGAUUUCUAGGAGCUCUUGAUAUGUUAGGGAAAUUAGUGCUUUGCGAUAUGUGUUAGACAUAUGCUUCCUUUUUUGUUGAUGUUCAGGAUGGUCUUUUGGGUCCGAUUUUGAGUCUAUCUGUCUCUGCAGGUUGGGGAGGUACUGGUCCUGCCUGGCUGCCAGGAAUGCUGGAUGUGCUUGUGUGGCCAAGGCCUCCAGUGCCAGCCCUUUUCCUGCCCACAGAGCACAGGCUGCAUCCUGGAUGGGGGUGUGCAGUGCUGUGAGGCUGGGGAGGGUGCCGCAUGUCACCUGGUGCCCGGGGGUCUCUUCAUCACCUUGGAUAGCUUUAGUGGGCUUGCACCCAGGCCUGUUAUGCCCUGUGCCUUUGAGCUAGCCACACUGGUGGGUUCCAGGCCCCAAGAUCCUGACUGGUUCCAUGUCCUUGCUGACUUCCCAUCCUGUCCUGGCUGCACUGCGGGAGGCCAUCGGCUUCAGGGAUGGCUAUGCGGCUGUGGGACCCAAUCAGGAAAUAUGGGUAAGGGACUUCUUCAAUGCCAGCCAAGACCCUUGUGUGACGUAGCACUGAUCCCUGGGGCCUACUGACCCCUCACUGACCUUCAGUAGCCUUUAACAUAGAAGUGGUUUCCCAUGACCCUCUAAUCUCACAUUGGCCUCCAUUGGCUAAAUGUCCUUGCCCUGAUCUCCCAGGACCCUCUAGACCCUACAUAAACUUCUCAGGACCCCCUGAGUCCACCUUGCUCCAAGACCUACUGGACUCCUGGGAACUACUGACUGAGUGGUCAGAGCUGUAACAGGGAAGCAGAGGCCAGAGCGAUCAGGGCUGGGAUAGGGAAGCACAGGCAGGCUGUGGGAGCCCAGAGGUGCCCCCAGUUUAGGGGGUCUGUGAAGAUUUUCUGAAGGAGGUAACCAAUGAGCUGAGACUUGCAGUUAGGCUGGGGAACAGAGCAGGGAGGAACGUUGCAGAACAAGGCCAUGACAAAGGAGGGACUGUAUUGGGGACUGUGGUGAAAAUCAGCUAGUGAGUCUAAGACAGCCCACCAAAUGCGGUGGACUUAGGACCAAGGAGGCUAUGAGUGACUUAGGAAAUCACAGUAGGGGGCAGCUCCUGGACUACAGGGUUGAGGAAUGAGGCUUACGGGGAGACAGCAGGCAUAGACGCUUCUCUUGACAAGUUGUCCUUGAAGACAGAGGAGACUAGAGAUGAGCCAGGAAGAGGCAGAGGGCCAGGCUAUCUUAGAACUGAUUUAUUAUGAUGCUGCUUUGCAGAUGGGAGAAACUCAGGGAUGUUUGCUGAUAGGAAGAAACUAGACAAGGAGAAGUUGGGAAUCCAGCAGAGGGAGGCCGGGGUGGAGGACACCUGGCUCCCCAAGGAACCCGGAAGCAGGAGGGCAGCAGGAGAACAGGAAUCUGGGCAGGCACAAUGGAUAGUGUUUCUAAGCAAGGGGAAAGCAUGCCUGAAAUCCCAUGCUGAGACUCAGAACACAGCUGUGAGGUGGAGCAAUUGGAGGAGCCAGAGGAUGGGCCAGCAAGAGCACCUGGGGCAUCUGCCACAAUCUGGCAGGGAGGCUGAGCCAGAGCUUUGCUUGUAGGGCCAAGAGCCCCGGACUGUGUCUCUUAAACUUCUAGUGUAACUUUGGGCACAUGACUCAGCCCCUCUCUAUGCUUCAGUUUGCCCAUCCACAAAAAGCAGUCAUAAGAAUAGUACCUCCUUCAUAGGGCAGCUGUGAGCAUACAUGUGAAGUGCUGGUGUACACUAAGUGCUCUGUAAGUAUGAGCUGUGAUUGCUCUCGCAGCCUCUUUUAUAUUAUUAUUGGAGAGACAAGGUAUAGAGCAGAGUGGUUAAGAACACAGGUCACGAAUCCAGUACCCCCUCCUCCCCAGGAUCCAAACCUGGCUCUGCCACUCACCAGCUCCAUGAACCUGGGCAAGCUCUGUGACUUCUCUAGGUCUCUUUCCUUUUUUUUCUUUUUUUUUUUUUUUUUUAAGAUUUUAUGUUUCCUUUUUCUCCGCAAAUCCCCCCGGUACAUAGUUGUAUAUUUUUAGUUGUGAGUCCCUCUAGUUGUGGCAUGUGGGACGCCACCUCAGCAUGGCUCAGUGAGCGGUGCCAUAUUGGCGCGCAGGAUCCCAACAGUGAAACCCUGGGCCGCAGAAGCAGAGCGGGAACUUAACCACUCGGCCAUGGGGCCAGCCCUACUGGGUCUCUUUCCUAAUCGGUAAGAGGCAAGAGGCAUAUAGGCUGCAGAUCCACCUUGUCAGUGUGUUGGUGGGAUUUAAUAUCAUUGUAAAUAUUUAAUAAGCUAUUUUAACAUUCACUAUUUUAAAAUAAAUGUAUUACACAAAAUAAUAUAAAUUUGGUGACAGUAUAUUAAAAUAUCAAUUGCAUCGUAUUAUUUUGCAUAUUUUAUUGAUGUACUGUGUCAUACAUUAUCUUAUGAAUUGAAUAGUAAAAUAUUAAAGCAGUUGGAAUAGCGCCUGGCACAGAGAAUGUUAGAUUUUGAAGACAAGAGGUGAGAGACCUGACAAGUUCCAGAGGCUGUUUUUUCCCCUCUAAAGCUCCCUUUUAGGAAAGUGUUUAUUAUGGAAAUUUUCAAGCAUCACAGAAGAGAGAAUAGUGUUAUGAAACCCCAUUACAGUUACACAGUGGUUUCUUUUUUUUUUUUUUAAUUUUUUUUAAAUUUUUUGAGGAAGAUUAGCCCUGAGCUAACUACUGCCAGUCUUCUUCUUU